This 513-nucleotide ribosomal RNA is filed under the name uncultured bacterium. RNAcentral's name for it is "partial 16S ribosomal RNA". It matches the Rfam family "Bacterial small subunit ribosomal RNA", at positions 28 to 523 of the family's 1533-position model. The record is from RNAcentral.
GAUGAACGCUGGCGGCGUGCCUAAUACAUGCAAGUCGAGCGAACAGAUAAGGAGCUUGCUCCUUUGACGUUAGCGGCGGACGGGUGAGUAACACGUGGGUAACCUACCUAUAAGACUGGGAUAACUUCGGGAAACCGGAGCUAAUACCGGAUAACAUUUGGAACCGCAUGGUUCUAAAGUGAAAGAUGGUUUUGCUAUCACUUAUAGAUGGACCCGCGCCGUAUUAGCUAGUUGGUAAGGUAACGGCUUACCAAGGCGACGAUACGUAGCCGACCUGAGAGGGUGAUCGGCCACACUGGAACUGCGACACGGUCCAGACUCCUACGGGAGGCAGCAGUAGGGAAUCUUCCGCAAUGGGCGAAAGCCUGACGGAGCAACGCCGCGUGAGUGAUGAAGGGUUUCGGCUCGUAAAACUCUGUUAUUAGGGAAGAACAAACGUGUAAGUAACUGUGCACGUCUUGACGGUACCUGAUCAGAAAGCCACGGCUAACUACGUGCCAGCCGCCGCCGUAA